Molecule: non-coding RNA, 88 nt
Filed under: unclassified sequences
Description: freshwater-2 RNA
Rfam family: freshwater-2 RNA
About the family: Aquatic, esp. fresh water. No recognized genes
Source: RNAcentral
AAACGCAAUUCGGCGUUUUAUGCAGUUUUAACAUUCUGCGUAGUAGGUAGAACCUACAUUGGACUUCUAUAAGGAGAAAUAUAAAAUG